CCCAGAUGGAAGAGGAUGUCGUCAUAUAUCGGCAGAAUAAACAAGAGCUUCAGGCUGGGUAUAGAGGUGAUGCUGGGCAACCACAAGCCAAACAUGUGGCUAUUGACAACAUAAGACUGGUCGACUGUUUUAACCACAACCCCGGCCCGUUGGAGGUGUGUCAAGGCAUACGGUGUGGCACGGGCGAGUGUGUGAGGCGUAAUAACAUUUGUGACAUAACCAAGAACUGUCCGGGAGGCGAGGACGAGUCCACAUGUGCCCUGGAACCUGAAGGGUCUAGGUGACUUCGAGAGCGACUGGUGCGGCUGGAAGAACGCCGGUGACGAUCAUAUGGACUUCCACAGGCAUCACGGCAACACUCAGAAGGAACGUAC
This is a long non-coding RNA of Homarus americanus (American lobster), 374 nucleotides long. RefSeq lists it as uncharacterized. The transcript has 3 exons. Lineage: Eukaryota; Metazoa; Arthropoda; Malacostraca; Decapoda; Nephropidae. The record is from RefSeq and is a predicted model, not a curated record.